CCUACGGGCGGCAGCAGUGAGGAAUAUUGGUCAAUGGACGAGAGUCUGAACCAGCCAAGUAGCGUGAAGGAUGACUGCCCUAUGGGUUGUAAACUUCUUUUAUAUGGGAAUAAAAUGUUCCACGUGUGGGAUUUUGUAUGUACCAUAUGAAUAAGGAUCGGCUAACUCCGUGCCAGCAGCCGCGGUAAUACGGAGGAUCCGAGCGUUCUCCGGAUUUAUUGGGUUUAAAGGGAGCGUAGGUGGAUUGUUAAGUCAGUUGUGAAAGUUUGCGGCUCAACCGUAAAAUUGCAGUUGAAACUGGCAGUCUUGAGUACAGUAGAGGUGGGCGGAAUUCGUGGUGUAGCGGUGAAAUGCUUAGAUAUCACGAAGAACUCCGAUUGCGAAGGCAGUUCACUGGACUGCAACUGACACUGAGGCUCGAAAGUGUGGGUAUCAAACAGGAUUAGAUACCCGGGUAGUC
This 460-nucleotide ribosomal RNA is filed under the name uncultured bacterium. RNAcentral describes it as "partial 16S ribosomal RNA". It matches the Rfam family "Bacterial small subunit ribosomal RNA", at positions 338 to 795 of the family's 1533-position model. The record is from RNAcentral.